Molecule: ribosomal RNA, 253 nt
Filed under: uncultured bacterium
Lineage: Bacteria
Description: partial 16S ribosomal RNA
Rfam family: Bacterial small subunit ribosomal RNA
Source: RNAcentral
UACGUAGGGUGCAAGCGUUGUCCGGAAUUAUUGGGCGUAAAGAGCUCGUAGGCGGUUUGUCGCGUCGGCUGUGAAAACCCAGGGCUCAACCCUGGGCCUGCAUUCGAUACGGGCAGACUAGAGUGUGGCAGGGGAGACUGGAAUUCCUGGUGUAGCGGUGAAAUGCGCAGAUAUCAGGAGGAACACCGGUGGCGAAGGCGGGUCUCUGGGCCAAUACUGACGCUGAGGAGCGAAAGCGUGGGGAGCGAACAGG